GGAUGAUGCUUUUUUUGUGUGGUUUCCCUGGGAUAGGCAUGGCAAGACUCAGAGUUUCUUCUCAAAUGUACACUGAUAAAUACUCAACUGAAGAUUCAACUGAAAUCCUCUAUGGGUCUCCAGACUCCCCCAUUCUGGAACUCUUCCCUGCAAAUUCCAGCUGCCUAAACUCCCUUCCAUCUCUCAGUUUCUCUAUAACUGAGGAACACCGUCAGGCUCCAGCUGGAUUUUCCUUCCUUGUGCACUGAUCUGGAAAGUCUUUCACAUCAGUAAGUGAGGGAAAUCAUAGAGUUCUCCUGGAUAGAAGAGGCCCUGGUUAGCAGCUUCAGAUGAUGGAUACAUAAAAAUGGGAGAGAGAAAACAUAUAAGAGUGACUAAUUGUUGAGUUUCCAGGGCUCAAACCAAUCUUGAAUUGGAAUUUCAAGACAUAAAAACCACUGCAGGAACCUGCUGGAGAAACGGCCUCUGGUAUCUCUAUCUGAAAUAUGAUUAUCUUAAGUUCGCAAAGCAUUGUGUCUGCAGUGUGAGUUUGAAAACAACAAUGUUAAGGCAACUUCGCAGCUUCUUAAUCAAGCCCUUCUCCAUCUCUCCGUGUGGUUUUUGGGGUGGUGGAGGUGGAGCCAAAAAAGAGAGGGCAGUUUCCCAGGGCUGAAGAUGCUACCAUGACUCAUAGGAUCUAUGCAAACCCUGUGAGUGAAUUCUGAGGAAGAAGAAUGAGUAAUAUUUUGAUUUUAUUACUGAUGGUAAUAAGAUAGUAUCAUCAGUGUGGUAUAUUCUGAUUACUGAAUUCUAUUCCCUAUUUUCUUCCUGUGGCCAAAUAAAAUUUGUGUGUGUAAGCUAUGAUAUUUAGUGUUGUUAUCUGAUGAGACAGGUUUAGUGGAAAAGUUCAUUUUAAAUAAACAUUAAAAUUGUUUCAGCCUCAGAUUUUUAAUCCAAAUCAUUCCUUUGACACCAGAAGAAUUUUCCUCAGAGUCAACUCCAAAGAUAAAGCUGCCUGUUUUCCUAUUUGCCCAGAAGUAAAGAGGUUGCAAAA
This 1033-nucleotide long non-coding RNA is filed under the name Homo sapiens (human). RNAcentral describes it as "HSALNT0119252". The record is from RNAcentral. Lineage: Eukaryota; Metazoa; Chordata; Mammalia; Primates; Hominidae.